RNAcentral lists this ribosomal RNA (1348 nucleotides) under metagenome. Its description in RNAcentral is "bacterial LSU rRNA". It matches the Rfam family "Bacterial large subunit ribosomal RNA", at positions 1564 to 2925 of the family's 2925-position model. The record is from RNAcentral.
UGAGUACGAGCUGCUACGGCAGCGAAGUGGGUGACGUCAAGCUUCCAAGAAAAGCCCUACACCCGUUAAGGCAUGAUGGCCUGUACCCGAAACCGACACAGGUGGGGUGGUAGAGAAUACCGAGGGGCGCGAGGUAACUCUCUCUAAGGAACUCGGCAAAAUGGCCCCGUAACUUCGGGAGAAGGGGUGCCACCGCAAGGUGGUCGCAGUGAAGAGGCCCAGGCGACUGUUUACCAAAAACACAGGUCUCCGCUAAGUCGCAAGACGAUGUAUGGGGGCUGACGCCUGCCCAGUGCCGGAAGGUUAAGGAAGCUGGUCAGCGCAAGCGAAGCUGGCGACUGAAGCCCCGGUGAACGGCGGCCGUAACUAUAACAGUCCUAAGGUAGCGAAAUUCCUUGUCGGGUAAGUUCCGACCCGCACGAAAGGCGUAACGAUCUGGGCGCUGUCUCGGAGAGAGGCUCGGCGAAAUAGAAUUAUCUGUGAAGAUGCGGACUACGUGCACCCGGACAGAAAGACCCUAUGAAGCUUUACUGUAGCUUGGUAUUGUGCCCGGGCUCUGAAUGCGCAGGAUAGGUGGGAGGCUUUGAUCCAUUGCUUGUGGGUGAUGGUGAGCCAACGGUGAGAUACCACUCUUUCAGAGCUAGGGUUCUAACGGUCACCCGUUAUCCGGGGACCGGACAGUAUCAGGUGGGCAGUUUGACUGGGGCGGUCGCCUCCUAAAAGGUAACGGAGGCGCGCAAAGGUUCCCUCAGGCUGGUUGGAAAUCAGCCGAUGAGUGUAAAGGCAGAAGGGAGCUUGACUGUGAGACCUACAAGUCGAACAGGGACGAAAGUCGGCCUUAGUGAUCCGACGGUUCUGAGUGGAAGGGCCGUCGCUCAACGGAUAAAAGUUACUCUAGGAUAACAGGCUGAUCUCCCCCAAGAGUUCACAUCGACGGGGAGGUUUGGCACCUCGAUGUCGGCUCAUCGCAACCUGGGGCUGAAGUCGGUCCCAAGGGUUGGGCUGUUCGCCCAUUAAAGCGGUACGCGAGCUGGGUUCAGAACGUCGUGAGACAGUUCGGUCCAUAUCCGGUGCAUGCGCAGGAAUAUUGAGAGGAUUUCUCCCUAGUACGAGAGGACCGGGAGGAACGCACCUCUGGUGUACCAGUUAUCGUGCCAACGGUAAACGCUGGGUAGCCAUGUGCGGAGUGGAUAACCGCUGAAAGCAUCUAAGUGGGAAGCCCACCUCAAGAUGAGUAUUCCCAUGGCGUUAGCCAGUAAGGUCACGGGCAGAACACCCGUUGAUAGGCUCUACGUGGAAGCCGGGUAACCGGUGAAGCGGAGGAGUACUAAUAGACCGAGGGCUUGAC